Molecule: long non-coding RNA, 3078 nt
Organism: Canis lupus familiaris (dog)
Lineage: Eukaryota; Metazoa; Chordata; Mammalia; Carnivora; Canidae
Exons: 4
Source: RefSeq, a predicted model, not a curated record
CGGCUGCGGCUGCUUCUGGGGCUGCAGCUGGGGCUGCGCGGCCUGGUACUGCUGUGCUUGCUGCUGUAGGAUUUGGAGCUGAGUCUGGCCGACGUGAUGCUGCGUCUGAAUCUGCUGCUUCAAGUCUUCAAGCAGGGAUCCUGCCAUUCCGGUCAUGCCAGGCAUUCCAAACGUGGCCGAGCCCGGCAAGCCCAAAUCCGGCCCCAGGCUGAACUCCGUGCCGGGGAUGUAGAAGGGGAAGAGAAACUGAGGCUGCUGGAACUGCAACAGUGCUUCGGGGGUCACAGGGAAAUGAGGCAAAAAGGCUGGGUUUAGAAACUGAGGCUGAAAGAACGCAGCUUGCUGCUGCAACUCGUGCUGGAGCUGCAUCUGAAUUUGUGCUGGUGACUGCAGCGGGUGGUGCGGAGGUUGGGCAGAGAUUAAGUCCGGACUUUGCUUUUUAUUUAUUUCUUUGGCAUCUAAGUGGCUCUCCUUGCUGCCGACUGUCGCGAGACUCAUGGAAUCUAACAUCCCCUGGCCGGGACUACUGUUUGCUGCCAUGCCGUGCCCACCAGCCCCGUGGCCGCUCGGCUCCAGCUUGGCAGCCCGCGCCUUUGUCUGGUGGAGCACGGACCUCAUGUGGAUUUCCAACGUGGAGCUUUGGCUGUACGCAACAUUGCAGAUGCUGCACUUGUAGGGUUUGUUGUCUGUGCUGCUGUUGGUCUCUUGAGGAACGGGACUGGAGGCUUCCUGCAAGACCUUUUUCAACUUAUGCAGAUGAGACACUGAAUUAUAGUGGACCAAGAGAAUGUUCUUCUGGGUGAACGACUCUUUACACACUGUACACUUAUACGGGCGCGAUGGGUCAAGGAAUUUUUCCAUCGUAAAGUUUGGCCCUUUUCUGAAAGGUAAGGUCCGCUUUGGUUCAGAGCCCAUGUCAUCCGGGAUUGAGCUACUAUCACUUCCUACAGGACUUGCCUUCCCUUCGUGGUCCACCUCGUACUCUCUCUCCAUGUCCUGCUCUAGGCCGUGGUCGUCCUGUGCCAUCGUUUCACUCUCUGCCCACAGUUCGCCGUUCACGGGCAAGGAGGCAUACAGCUGCUGAAGUUCGGCCUCGCUCAGCUCGGGGUGGCCUGCUUCCAAGUGUUUUUUUAAAGCCUGGAAUGUACGGAAACUACGCUGGCAGAGAUUACACAUCGUCGCGGCCCGAAUCGCAUGAUACUGGGAAUGUAUCUGAAGCUUCUGCAUAGUCUUAAAAGCCAAGCUGCAGUGGUUACAGCGGUACUUAUAAACGUGGCGGUCCGACACGGAGAGCGGUUGCCUCUUUUGCUGCUCGCUUAACUGAUCCUGUAGGGUGUCAGGGAUUUUCACAUCCUUACUGCUAUUUUUAUUCCAUUCUGACACUUCCAUGGGUUCUUUAGUUGGUUUCUGCUCCUCGCUCUUUAUUUCCACGCUGGCCUUUGAAUCAUCAAGACCUGCCAUACUUUUGUCAUCCACUGGACUUUCGCCUGUGCGGAAGAAAGCACAAAUAUGUCACUUACAGGAAGAAAGCCUACUGCUUAAAUGCCAAUAAAUAUAGUAAGUAGGAAACUCUAAAGAUUUCUGCUAAAUCAAUUUCUUUCUUUCUUUCUGAAGUAGGCUCCGUGCCCAGCGUGGAGCCCAACGUGGGGUUUGAACUCACGACCCGAGAUCAAGACCCGAGCUGAGAUGAAGAGUUGGAUGCUUAACCGACUGAGCCGCCGAGGCGGCCCUAAUUGAUUCUUUGCGGAGAUACUUAUUGAGCAACUACUGUGUGCCAAGCACUGUACUGGGUGCUGGGGAUGUAAAGAUCCUGCACCCGGGCUGGCAUACCUGAAUAUUUCCCAGAUCCCUCAGCUGUGAUGGCUGCAGGUGUGUCCCGCUCUGACUUCUCAGAGGCGGCAGCUGGCAGUAGCAGACUGUUGGGCAUCAUCACAUCGGGCACAGGCACCUGUGAGAAGCAAAGGGGUUCAUGUCACAUGGAGCCCAGAAAUCAGACUCCAUCACAUUUGCCGCUGGGCCGUAGACCAUCCCACUUACAUUUUUCCACACAGAAACGGGGACAUUUUGUGGCUCCUACAGACCAAGGCUAUCCCUUCGGAUUUUAGAUCAAUACUAUUACAAUGCCAUAUUCCUCUUUUCUUUUUUUAAAAAUAUGAUUUGAAGGUUUUUGUCUGUCUAUUUUUUUUUUACAACGAUCAUCAGGAAAGUUUGAGACUCAACAUGCCCACGUGAAUCAUGCAAUUAACAUUACAGAUCUAAAAGCAAGACAAUAAAAUAUGUUACUGAAUAAGCUAUGCCUUGAAUCAUAUUUCCUUUCUCCGUAAGCAAAAGAGACGACAAAUAAAUGGGCCUCGGUUGUGAUUUCUAGAACACGGUCUGUAAGAGAACUAUCAGUAGGCAGAAAAAAUACAUUUCUCAAGCAAUAAUUACAGAUUUCGUGUUGAUACUUUUAGAGAGAUCAUGUCACAUGCGAAGCAACGUUUGGUCUCCUUACUGUCAUGAGCAGCUUCUCCACACAAUCCGGAGACACGCUGUGCAAAUGCGUCAGAUGCAGCUGGAGGUGCAUUUUGUUGCUGAGGACGUCCUGACAGAGGGGACAGCAGAUGACGGGCUGUACCGAGUGCUGUGACAGGACAUGCAUCUGGAUACGACUCUGGUCCCUACUAUUGUAGUUACAAUAAGGGCACUGAAAGAGCUGGAGAAUACGGGGCUGAAUCAUCUGUAAACUUUUCCACUGGAUUUUGUUUGAAAUGCCUCAAAUAGAUGCCCUUAAAAAGAGCAAAUUCCUGAGUCCACCGCUGCAGGUUUAGCAGCUCCUUCUGUCUCCUCACUUUGUUCUUCUGUUAAGAAAAGCAGACCCAGUCAGAGGACUGAAAACCCCAGAAGGAUGCCCACUGAAAUAAACGUGACCAUUUAAAAACCGUGCCAUUUAUGAAUCAUCUGCAGACAUUCACUCUGAAGAAAGAACGCAAAUUUAUUCACAAGUCUCUAUUAGAACCUGCUGACUGUUACCAAAGCAGAUUUUCAUCCACAGUCCCCUUCUUUUACAUCCAUUGAGAAAAUGUGCCUGUACUAAAU